Molecule: ribosomal RNA, 473 nt
Filed under: uncultured bacterium
Lineage: Bacteria
Description: bacterial SSU rRNA
Rfam family: Bacterial small subunit ribosomal RNA
Source: RNAcentral
GACGAACGCUGGCGGCGUGCCUAACACAUGCAAGUCGAGCGGGGCUGUGCGAAGCACAGAGAGUUUUGCAGUAAAGCAGUAAGGAGUUAUGAGUUAAGAGUUAUUAGUAUUAGAAGAAACACCGAAGGUGUUUCGCCAAUACUGGCAACUGACAACUGAAAACUGAUAACUGCUAAGCAAAGCGCUGUGUGCUUUGCACAUCCUAGCGGCGGACGGGUGAGUAACGCGUGAGCAACCUGCCUUUCAGUGGGGGGAUAACGUCUCGAAAGGGACGCUAAUACCGCAUGAUAUAGCGAUAUCACAUGGUAACGCUAUCAAAGAUUUAUCGCUGAAAGAUGGGCUCGCGUCUGAUUAGCUGGUUGGUGAGGUAACGGCUCACCAAGGCGACGAUCAGUAGCCGAACUGAGAGGUUGAUCGGCCACAUUGGGACUGAGACACGGCCCAGACUCCUACGGGAGGCAGCAGUGGGGGAU